Molecule: ribosomal RNA, 497 nt
Filed under: uncultured bacterium
Lineage: Bacteria
Description: partial 16S ribosomal RNA
Rfam family: Bacterial small subunit ribosomal RNA
Source: RNAcentral
GAUGAACGCUGGCGGCGUGCCUAAUACAUGCAAGUCGAGCGAACGGACGAGAAGCUUGCUUCUCUGAUGUUAGCGGCGGACGGGUGAGUAACACGUGGAUAACCUACCUAUAAGACUGGGAUAACUUCGGGAAACCGGAGCUAAUACCGGAUAAUAUUUUGAACCGCAUGGUUCAAAAGUGAAAGACGGUCUUGCUGUCACUUAUAGAUGGAUCCGCGCUGCAUUAGCUAGUUGGUAAGGUAACGGCUUACCAAGGCAACGAUGCAUAGCCGACCUGAGAGGGUGAUCGGCCACACUGGAACUGAGACACGGUCCAGACUCCUACGGGAGGCAGCAGUAGGGAAUCUUCCGCAAUGGGCGAAAGCCUGACGGAGCAACGCCGCGUGAAUGAUGAAGGUCUUCGGAUCGUAAAACUCUGUUAUUAGGGAAGAACAUAUGUGUAAGUAACUGUGAACAUCUUGACGGUACCUAAUCAGAAAGCCACGGCUAACUACGUG